RNAcentral lists this small RNA (4365 nucleotides) under Pan troglodytes (chimpanzee). Its description in RNAcentral is "processed transcript". The record is from RNAcentral. Lineage: Eukaryota; Metazoa; Chordata; Mammalia; Primates; Hominidae.
CUGCAACCUCCACCUCCCAGGUUCAAGAAGUUUCCCUACCUUAGGCUCCUGAGUAGCUGGGACUACAGGAUUACAGUUUAAAGACAAUUUCUGUGAUCAAGUUGUCAUUUGGAAGAUUAAACCCAUUUCACGAGGACUUGGAGCCUGGUCCUUGCUUUGAGGAAGCAGUGGCUUGUUUCAAGAAGCCACUUCUGAUCUAAGAAUCUACCCAGCAUGCCUAAUCAAGGAGAAGACUGCUAUUUUUUUUUCUAUUCCACAUGUACCAAAGGCGACAGCUGCGCAUUCCGUCACUGUGAAGCUGCACUAGGAAAUGAAACUGUUUGCACAUUAUGGCAAGAAGGGCGCUGUUUUCGACAGGUGUGCAGGUUUCGGCACAUGGAGAUUGAUAAAAAACGCAGUGAAAUUCCUUGUUAUUGGGAAAAUCAGCCAACAGGAUGUCAAAAAUUAAACUGCGCUUUCCAUCACAAUAGAGGACGAUAUGUUGAUGGCCUUUUCCUACCUCCGAGCAAAACUGUGUUGCCCACUGUGCCUGAGUCACCAGAAGAGGAAGUGAAGGCUAGCCAACUUUCAGUUCAGCAGAACAAAUUGUCUGUCCAGUCCAAUCCUUCCCCUCAGCUGCGGAGCGUUAUGAAAGUAGAAAGUUCCGAAAAUGUUCCUAGCCCCACGCAUCCACCAGUUGUAAUUAAUGCUGCAGAUGAUGAUGAAGAUGAUGAUGAUCAGUUUUCUGAGGAAGGUGAUGAAACCAAAACACCUACCCUGCAACCAACUCCUGAAGUUCACAAUGGAUUACGAGUGACUUCUGUCCGGAAACCUGCAGUCAAUAUAAAGCAAGGUGAAUGUUUGAAUUUUGGAAUAAAAACUCUUGAGGAAAUUAAGUCAAAGAAAAUGAAGGAAAAAUCUAAGAAGCAAGGUGAGGGUUCUUCAGGAGUUUCCAGUCUUUUACUCCACCCUGAGCCCGUUCCAGGUCCUGAAAAAGAAAAUGUCAGGACUGUGGUGAGGACAGUAACUCUCUCCACCAAACAAGGAGAAGAACCCUUGGUUAGAUUGAGUCUUACUGAGAGACUGGGGAAACGAAAAUUUUCAGCAGGCGGUGACAGUGAUCCUCCAUUAAAGCGUAGCCUGGCACAGAGGCUAGGGAAGAAAGUUGAAGCUCCAGAAACUAACAUUGACAAAACACCAAAGAAAGCUCAAGUUUCCAAGUCUCUUAAGGAGCGAUUAGGCAUGUCAGCUGAUCCAGAUAAUGAGGAUGCAACAGAUAAAGUUAAUAAAGUUGGUGAGAUCCAUGUGAAGACAUUAGAAGAAAUUCUUCUUGAAAGAGCCAGUCAGAAACGUGGAGAAUUGCAAACUAAACUCAAGACAGAAGGACCUUCAAAAACUGAUGAUUCUACUUCAGGAGCAAGAAGCUCCUCCACUAUCCGUAUCAAAACCUUCUCUGAGGUCCUGGCUGAAAAAAAACAUCGGCAGCAGGAAGCAGAGAGACAAAAAAGCAAAAAGGAUACAACUUGCAUCAAGCUAAAGAUUGAUAGUGAAAUUAAAAAAACAGUCGUUUUGCCACCCAUUGUUGCCAGCAGAGGACAAUCAGAGGAGCCUGCAGGUAAAACAAAGUCUAUGCAGGAGGUGCACAUCAAGACGCUGGAAGAAAUUAAACUGGAGAAGGCACUGAGGGUGCAGCAGAGCUCUGAGAGCAGCACCAGCUCCCCGUCUCAACACGAGGCCACUCCAGGGGCAAGGCGGCUGCUGCGAAUCACCAAAAGAACAGGGAUGAAAGAAGAGAAGAACCUUCAGGAAGGAAAUGAAGUUGAUUCUCAGAGCAGUAUUAGAACAGAAGCUAAAGAGGCUUCAGGUGAGACCACAGGAGUUGACAUCACUAAAAUUCAAGUCAAGAGAUGUGAGACCAUGAGAGAGAAGCACAUGCAGAAACAGCAGGAGAGGGAAAAAUCAGUCUUGACACCUCUUCGGGGAGAUGUAGCCUCUUGCAAUACCCAAGUGGCAGAGAAACCAGUGCUCACUGCUGUGCCAGGAAUCACACGGCACCUGACCAAGCGGCUUCCCACAAAGUCAUCCCAGAAGGUGGAGGUAGAAACCUCAGGGAUUGGAGACUCAUUAUUGAAUGUGAAAUGUGCAGCACAGACCUUGGAAAAAAGGGGUAAAGCUAAACCCAAAGUGAACGUGAAGCCAUCUGUGGUUAAAGUUGUGUCAUCCCCCAAAUUGGCCCCAAAACGUAAGGCAGUGGAGAUGCACACUGCUGUCAUUGCCGCUGUAAAGCCACUCAGCUCCAGCAGUGUCCUACAGGAACCCCCAGCCAAAAAGGCAGCUGUGGCUGUUGUCCCGCUUGUCUCUGAGGACAAAUCAGUCACUGUGCCUGAAGCAGAAAAUCCUAGAGACAGUCUUGUGCUGCCUCCAACCCAGUCCUCUUCAGAUUCCUCACCCCCGGAGGUGUCUGGCCCUUCCUCAUCCCAAAUGAGCAUGAAAACUCGCCGACUCAGCUCUGCCUCAACAGGAAAGCCCCCACUCUCUGUGGAGGAUGAUUUUGAGAAACUAAUAUGGGAGAUUUCAGGAGGCAAAUUGGAAGCUGAGAUUGACCUGGAUCCUGGGAAAGAUGAAGAUGACCUUCUGCUUGAGCUAUCAGAAAUGAUUGAUAGCUGAAGGUGGUAGUGAGGACACUUUAAAAAAAAAAUCGCCAAAAAACUGGACUUAGUUUCAUCUAUUGUAACAUUUACCUGAGAUGAUCAUUUCUUUAGUCUAGAAUUUGCCCCAAAUCAGAAGUAUACCUCUGAAUUAUCUGUAUGUGUCCUGGAUUCCUUGGGGUCAGAUUUUUAAAGUUACUUUAUAACCAUUUUGUCCAUUUGAUGCCAUUGUUUAUCAUUUUUUGAGAAAAAAGUUCUGUCAUACCCUUCUCUCCACAAAAAAGAGACUGAGAGGGAGAUCAAGUGAAAGGGUGCAAGCGAACUUAGUGACUCCUUGAGGUGUUUGUCAGUUUUGGCUUUUUUCUUCUUUGUUGUAUUCUUUAUGUAUUGUCUUGAUGUACUUAAUAUUACCUGAGUUUGAAAUGGAUGAAGACAGCUGCUACCAUUAAGGACCAAAUUUUAUGCUACCACUAAACAAAAAUACCCACUCAGUCUGUGUUAAAUUGUAUGUCUUUUUAAAGGUAUUUAAAGAUUCAACUAAGCUUUAAAGAGGGCUGAGCAGCUCAGGAAGCCUGUAAUGUGGGCAUAACUCUUUGGACCUGAUCUUGAUGCUUCUGCUGCUCUGUUAGCCUCUGAAGAGCAAUAUCUAAUUUAUUAUUACUGUAAUUUUUUAAAAGGCUUUAAAGUGCCUCAGGGGUCCCCUGAAACUAAUUUUCUAUUUCUGGGAUUCCCUGGAUUCAUUAUAUGAGAUGGUGACAUGAUUAGAGGAAUUCUUUUUUAGUAUGAAAAUUGUCCCUUUUCUUCUUCAGUACUUGCCUCCUUGCUGGCAUUGAAUUAACACAGGGACAAAAUUUGGUUAAUUUUUUAUUUCUAACUCUCCCAACAAACCCCUGUUGCCCAGUAUUUGUUUGGUGGCCUUUAACCACCUGAGGGAAAAAAUGAGCUUAUUCAAGCUGCCAGUAUUUAUCUAUGGGCUGUAGCAGUACACUGAAUUGUACUGUGCCAGGGAUAUUGAGAUGCUCUGGGGGUGUAUUGUAUACCUGCCAGUUUUCUUCAUUUCUGAAUUGAGUUUUCUUUUCUUGAUGUUGGUUUCCUUCAUAUCACCUCAAGGUUUAGAUUUGUGAAGGAAUAAGCAUGAUGGAAAUAAUAGUCUUGAAAGGAGAUAUGUUGUAUAUAAUCAGGAGGAAGAGGAAGGAAGGACUUACCCAUUUUGAUAUUUUGCUGUAGGUGGCCAGUUUUGUUUCUCAUAGGGAAAUCUGACCCACCUGUCAUGUUGGCUCCUAAGGAACUGCUGUUGUAAGCGGCUCAUCAAGAGUUGAACUUCACGUAGCCUUGUUGGGAAUAUGGAAAAGGAAGAAAGCCACAGGACUGCCCAUUCAGUCUUGGGAAGAUUGGGAUGAUUCUGCACAAGCAAAAAUGACUGAAAUUUAUGUAUAGACACACCUCUACCAAUCCAUCUUCAGCUGACUGAAUGUUGUAUGAUAGCCCUUCUCCAAAGCAGGGGUAGAAUGUUCAGGUUUCACCGUGGAUUUUCUACUUAUUUCGUUUUUGGAAUCAGCUUACAGAUUCCAGGUCCCUUUUGUAUAUAUUCUUUAUUCUUUUGCUUUUUUAAAAAAUAAUUUUGUUUCAUAUUUAAAGCACUUGUAUUAGUCAAUGUUUCGUGUUCCGCAUUAUUUGAACCAUUUGCCCUUACAGAAAGAGAAAUACUUGUUUGUGUUUUAAAUAAAACUGAUGUAGG